UUACCGAGUGGCAUGAAAUCUUCCUGUCGCAAGACGGGGGGAAGCUACCCGACCUUUUGUCAUGUUGUAUGUCGGCUGGUGAUUUGCCUUUUUUUUUCUUCUCUUUUUUCUUUGAAGCUUCGGUUUUUUCGAAAAAGAGGGGAGGGCAGAGCCAGACGAACCAAAACUUCGGCGGAAGAGGUAGGCGUAGACCUGCCCGCCGCCGGCCGUAUAACGUCAGAUAUUCUUGAGAGCAAGCUGAAGUCUAAGAAUUGCUGUCAUGGCAAACAAAUACAAAAAAAAAGCAAAACUUUCAACAACGGAUCUCUUGGCUCUGGCAACGAUGAAGAACGCAGCGAAACGCGAAAGGUAAUGCGAAUUGCAGAAUCAGUGAGUCAUCGAAUCUUUGAACGCACAUUGCGCCUCUCGGUAUUCCGGGAGGCACGCCUGUUCGAGCGCCAUUACAAACUCCAAGCCGUGCUUGAUGUUGGUCCGGUGUGUCUCUUGUGGACGUUUCUUGUCUAUGCAGGUAGAUGAGGGAUGGAGAUGGGAGACACAGGACUGGAACACGUUGGCGCCGGCGCCAGACCCCGAGCGUAGCAAGACGAGAGUCAAGAAAUCGCAUCGGAUUGGAUCUGGCGGACGGCGGCCUUGUUUUUUUUGUUGAUUUGUGUUGUUUGUAUGUCUCAGGGCCUUUUUGGUAUCGGGCGAAGCGAUUCACCGGUGUGGAAGGGCGCAGGAGGUAUAUGAUGAUGCACAGACAAAUACACACAGUUUGGCCUCGGAUCAGGCGGGGAUACCCGCUGAACUUAAGCAUAUCAAUAA
Molecule: unclassified non-coding RNA, 804 nt
Filed under: Scolecobasidium constrictum
Lineage: Eukaryota; Fungi; Ascomycota; Dothideomycetes; Venturiales; Sympoventuriaceae
Description: Ochroconis constricta sequence contains 18S rRNA gene, ITS1, 5.8S rRNA gene and ITS2
Rfam family: 5.8S ribosomal RNA (bases 288-440)
Source: RNAcentral